AGGAUGAACGCUGGCGGCGUGCCUAACACAUGCAAGUCGAACGUCCUGUCUCGCAAGAGGCAGGGAGUGGCGGACGGGUGAGUACCACGUGGGUCAUCUACCGUGAGGUGAGGAAUACCGGCGAGAAAUCGCCGACAAGACCGCAUAGGCUCGAUGCAAGUCGAGCAAAGCUCUUUCGAGAGAGGGAGCGCCACACGAGGAGCCUGCGCCCGAUUAGCUAGCUGGUGGAGUAACGGUUCACCAGGGCGACGAUCGGUAGCUGGUCUGAGAGGACGAUCAGCCACACUGGGAUUGAGAACGGCCCAGACUCCUACGGGGGCAGCAGUGAGGAAUUUUCGUCAAUGGGGGCAACCCUGAACGAGCAACGCCGCGUGCAGGAAGAAGGUUUUCGGAUCGUAAACUGCUUUUCUCGGGGAAGAGGAACGGACGGUACCCGAGGAAUCGAGCCCCGGCUAACUACGCGCCAGCAGCCGCGGU
RNAcentral lists this ribosomal RNA (477 nucleotides) under uncultured bacterium. RNAcentral describes it as "SSU rRNA". It matches the Rfam family "Bacterial small subunit ribosomal RNA", at positions 26 to 521 of the family's 1533-position model. The record is from RNAcentral.